GGAAACAUCGGCUUGUAUGGCGUUGAAAGAAACCAUGAAUAACUUCCAGAAGAUUAGACAGUAUGAUUCAUUUCUGUACUGGGCUGCGUUUGAAAUCCUCGGGGAAGAUGUAAGUUUCACUAAAGGCGAAAUCACGGAAAUUCAAAGAAGGAAUAAGGAUGUAAAACUCGUUUAGUUUUCUUCAACUAAACUAACGUACAACAGUAUGUUAAGUAACCCGUUAAUAUAAACGUUUGAACCGUUUGGAAAUACUUAAAGAAUUCUGUGAAUGAAAUGAUAUUUGGUAAAAGACAUCGACUUUGGUUGUAAAAUACAUUAGACCACCGAACUGUUAAGAUAAUGUUAUCGUGUGCGUAAUUUCAGGGGUAUGAUUUUCAAGUAGGCCUUAUAGCGAGUAAGGACUGAAUAUGCUGACCAUUUCAUCAGUAGUAGCCAAAGUUGACUUUUAGAACAGAGGGGACUUCCGUCUACGCAUGCGCGAGAAACGUAAGCGUGGA
Paramuricea clavata is the source of this 497-nucleotide non-coding RNA. The record is from the annotation of a GenBank genome assembly. Lineage: Eukaryota; Metazoa; Cnidaria; Anthozoa; Malacalcyonacea; Plexauridae.